GAUGAACGCUGGCGGCGUGCCUAAUACAUGCAAGUCGAGCGAACGGACGAGAAGCUUGCGGCGCGGAUGUUAGCGGCGCACGGGUGAGUAACACGUGGAUAACCUACCUAUAAGACUGGGAUAACUUCGGGAAACCGGAGCUAACACCGGAGAAUAUUUUGAACCGCAGGGUGGAAAAGAGAAAGACGGUGGUGCUGGCACGUAUAGAUGGAUCCGCGCUGCAUGCGCGAGUUGGGAAGGUAACGGCGUACCAAGGCAACGAUGCAUAGCCGACCGGCGAGGGUGAUCGGCCACCCUGGAACUGAGACACGCUCCAUGCGCCUACGGGAGGCAGCAGUAGGGCAUCUUCCGCAGCGGGCGAGAGCAUGGCACAGCGACGCCACGUGAGAGAUAGCGAUCCUCCGAUCGUAAUGCUCUCUUACUGGGGAAGAACAGCUUUGUCCUUUACCGUGCACAUCUUGACGGUAACUAAUCAAAAAGCACCGGCUAACUACGUG
RNAcentral lists this ribosomal RNA (497 nucleotides) under uncultured bacterium. RNAcentral's name for it is "partial 16S ribosomal RNA". It matches the Rfam family "Bacterial small subunit ribosomal RNA", at positions 28 to 507 of the family's 1533-position model. The record is from RNAcentral.